Manihot esculenta (cassava) is the source of this 93-nucleotide small nucleolar RNA. NCBI's taxonomy places the organism in Eukaryota, Viridiplantae, Streptophyta, Magnoliopsida, Malpighiales, Euphorbiaceae. The record is from RefSeq and is a predicted model, not a curated record.
UCUCUGUGAUGAAGAAAAUGAUAAGAUGACGAGUCCGAUCAAUUUUCCAUUCUUUCAAUGGUGACGACAAAUCGAGGCAUUUGUCUGAGAGAA